RNAcentral lists this ribosomal RNA (299 nucleotides) under uncultured bacterium. RNAcentral's name for it is "partial 16S ribosomal RNA". It matches the Rfam family "Bacterial small subunit ribosomal RNA", at positions 789 to 1084 of the family's 1533-position model. The record is from RNAcentral.
GGUAGUCUACGCCGUAAACGAUGGAUACUGUCUGUCGGAGGUAUCGACCCCUUCGGUAGAGAAGCUAACGCGUUAAGUAUCCCGCCUGGGGAGUACGGCCGCAGGGCUAAAACUCAAAGGAAUUGACGGGGACCCGCACAAGCGGUGGAGCGUGUGGUUUAAUUCGAGGCUACGCGAAGAACCUUACCAAGGUUUGACAUCCUUGUCGUCGCUCUAAGAAAUUAGGGCUUCAUUUAGUUGGACAAGUGACAGGUGAUGCAUGGCCGUCGUCAGCUCGUGUCGUGAGAUGUCAGGUUAAG